RNAcentral lists this ribosomal RNA (462 nucleotides) under uncultured bacterium. RNAcentral's name for it is "partial 16S ribosomal RNA". It matches the Rfam family "Bacterial small subunit ribosomal RNA", at positions 28 to 508 of the family's 1533-position model. The record is from RNAcentral.
GACGAACGCUGGCGGCGUGCUUAACACAUGCAAGUCGAGCGGAAAGGCCCUUCGGGGUACUCGAGCGGCGAACGGGUGAGUAACACGUGAGUAACCUGCCCCAGACUUUGGGAUAACCCUCGGAAACGGGGGCUAAUACCGGAUACGACACAGCUUCGCAUGGGGUCUGUGUGGAAAGUUUUUCGGUUUGGGAUGGGCUCGCGGCCUAUCAGCUUGUUGGUGGGGUGAUGGCCUACCAAGGCGACGACGGGUAGCCGGCCUGAGAGGGCGACCGGCCACAGGGGGAGUGAGACAGGCCCCAGCGCCCGAGGGGGGGAGGCGGGGGGAAAUUUGGAAGAGGGGGGGGGCGCAGGAGGAAGCGCGCGGGGGGGGGGAUGGCCGGCCGUGGGUGUAAAACCCUCUUGCGGGGGGGACGAACGGAGAGGGAGGGUACCUGAGAAAGAAGCCCCGCCCAACUCCGGC